UGAGAGUGCGCCACUAAAUUUCUCUCUUUUUUUUAUUGAGGCAGGGUUUUUGUGAACCAUUUGAUUUGUUUUAAUAUAUGAAAACAUUUUGAUGCUUUUUAGAUUUGAGAAAAAAAAAAAGUGCAUAUUUGAAGGAAAAAAAAACCCGUAAUCGAAUGCAGAUCUGUUGUAUUUUUUUCUGGUGCAUUGGUUUAUUGCAUUAGUGCUCUGGCCUGUGACUGCAACACAAUGGAGGACAGAGGGAUGCAGGGGUAAAUGAGUGCAAGGCUCUGCAUGGUGGAUAUUCUUCUCAGAUCCAUUGCUCAGUUUUUUCAAACACCUGAUUCUCCUGAGCUGUUCUUCAGCCUUUUGUAAGGUGUAGUUCCUGCUCUAAUCCUGCAUCUCCAUUCACCUGCACUGUAAUCUCUUCACAUAUCACAUCCUUCUGCUAUGGAUUUCCCUUUCGACCUGAACUCUCUCUUCCCGGAGAGGAUCUCAGUGCUGGAUCAAAAUCUCUGUUGUGCUGCCCGGAAAUCUCAUGGAAGACCCGACGCCCAGAAUCAGACUGCCACUGUAAUUGAUGAAUUAGGAAAAGCCUCAGCCAAGGCCCAGAAGCUGCCUGUGCCGAUAACGAGUGCGGCAAAGCUUCAGGCCAAUAGACAUCACCUUUACCUGCUGAAGGACAGAGAACGUAACGGGAGCCGUGGAGUUGCAGUAGGAUACCUGAAGGUCGGAUACAAGAAGCUCUUUCUGCUUGACCAGCGGGGGGCGCAUGUGGAGACCGAGCCCUUGUGUGUGCUGGAUUUUUAUGUGACCGAGAGCCUGCAGAGACACGGAUACGGGCUGGAGCUGUUCCACUUCAUGCUGCAACACAAGAAGGUGGAGCCUGAACAGAUGGCUUACGACAGACCUUCCUCGAAAUUCCUGGCCUUUCUAGAGAAACACUUUGAACUUAAACACAGUGUGCCUCAGGUGAACAACUUUGUGGUGUUUGAGAGCUUCUUCAGGAACAGAUCAGGCGCUCCUUCCUCCCCUGUGACGGAUCAGGGGAUGUACGGCUUUUUCGGCCCAGUCGAGAAAAGCGCCUCCAAAAAAGCUAGAGGGAGAGAUCAAACCGUAUUCACUAAUGGAGAGAGAGGCUGUGAGAGAGGAGCAGAAGGCCCUCCCGUGGCCGUUCACCCGCUCCACGGCCGUUCCUCAGUCUCCUCCUCUGGUGGCAUCCUCCCCGUACGCUCGCUCCCUGAGCGUGGGCUCGUCCCCCAGCCACACUCCUCGUCCUCAGCCGCACAUUCCUCCCCACCUGGCCGACAAUUGCAGGACAAAACGCACCAGUUCUCUAAAUAGAUCUCAGCUCGGCUUCCAUUGACCUUUAAACUUUCAGCACAGAACUUUUACGAACUUGAAAGCACAUUUUAUCCUUUUUAGUGAUUUGUUUGAUUGUGGCUAAUUUAAGGAUGUGCAGAAAUUGUUCUUUUAGGGAUGUGAAAAUGCAGAUGUUUGUUUUUUUUCAUAAUAUGGCAACGAUGAAGAAAAGGAAGUAACUUGGAAUAGAUAGGGUUUUGAAAUGUCCUUGUAUUUGCUUCAUCAAGACUGUUUUAGUAAUUACAGAAGUGUAAAAUCUUUCCGAAACUUAAGUCUGGUCAAUCUGUCCUGAUCUUGUGUCGACGCCUCUUUUUACUAGUAGCACUUCGAUCUCAAAUAAAAACAAAACCCCAACCUUCCACCAAAAAAUGUCAGAUUUUAUUACUUGUUCACAUCCACGUACUGAUUUAUGCCUCAGUGUGUGUCAUGCUCAUGAAAGAAGAAUCGAAGAGCACAAGGAAGUUGAGUUGCACAUAACGCAUUCAUUGCAUUCCUCAUUAUUUUCUCCACAUAAUUUUAUGAACUAAAGUUUUGGUCCUCUAAUUAUGUUCCUUUUCAUUUUUUUUUUACUUUUUGUCCUAUUUUCUUUCCCAUUUCCUUUUUUUUUCUUUAUCGCAUGCCCUCUCUGAUCCCUCCAUCAUCCCCUUUCCCAUCAUCACCUGUAGCACUCAGGGUUUGGUUGCCAGAAACAACCUUUACAGUCGCCAUGUGAACAGUCGAGGCCUGGGGCUCUUAAUGGCUGAACAGCUGAAGCUGCCAGGGUUGAAGCCAGUGCUCAGUGAGAAAGUGUGUGACGCAGGGGGACAGGACAC
This is an RNA transcript of Silurus meridionalis, 2153 nucleotides long. It is a transcript of the gene named alpha tubulin acetyltransferase 1, with no coding region annotated. The transcript is spliced from 12 exons. The record is from RefSeq and is a predicted model, not a curated record. NCBI's taxonomy places the organism in Eukaryota, Metazoa, Chordata, Actinopteri, Siluriformes, Siluridae.